This 786-nucleotide ribosomal RNA is filed under the name Streptomyces sampsonii. Its description in RNAcentral is "bacterial SSU rRNA". It matches the Rfam family "Bacterial small subunit ribosomal RNA", at positions 105 to 902 of the family's 1533-position model. Lineage: Bacteria; Bacillati; Actinomycetota; Actinomycetes; Kitasatosporales; Streptomycetaceae. The record is from RNAcentral.
GGUGAGUAACACGUGGGCAAUCUGCCCUGCACUCUGGGACAAGCCCUGGAAACGGGGUCUAAUACCGGAUAUGACCGUCUGCCGCAUGGUGGAUGGUGUAAAGCUCCGGCGGUGCAGGAUGAGCCCGCGGCCUAUCAGCUUGUUGGUGAGGUAGUGGCUCACCAAGGCGACGACGGGUAGCCGGCCUGAGAGGGCGACCGGCCACACUGGGACUGAGACACGGCCCAGACUCCUACGGGAGGCAGCAGUGGGGAAUAUUGCACAAUGGGCGAAAGCCUGAUGCAGCGACGCCGCGUGAGGGAUGACGGCCUUCGGGUUGUAAACCUCUUUCAGCAGGGAAGAAGCGAAAGUGACGGUACCUGCAGAAGAAGCGCCGGCUAACUACGUGCCAGCAGCCGCGGUAAUACGUAGGGCGCAAGCGUUGUCCGGAAUUAUUGGGCGUAAAGAGCUCGUAGGCGGCUUGUCACGUCGGUUGUGAAAGCCCGGGGCUUAACCCCGGGUCUGCAGUCGAUACGGGCAGGCUAGAGUUCGGUAGGGGAGAUCGGAAUUCCUGGUGUAGCGGUGAAAUGCGCAGAUAUCAGGAGGAACACCGGUGGCGAAGGCGGAUCUCUGGGCCGAUACUGACGCUAAGGAGCGAAAGCGUGGGGAGCGAACAGGAUUAGAUACCCUGGUAGUCCACGCCGUAGACGGUGAGCACUAGGUGUGGGCAACAUUCCACGUUGUCCGUGCCGCAGCUAACGCAGUUAAGUGCGCCGCCUGCGGAGUACGGCCGCAAGGCUAAGACUC